Molecule: non-coding RNA, 72 nt
Organism: Bos taurus (domestic cattle)
Lineage: Eukaryota; Metazoa; Chordata; Mammalia; Artiodactyla; Bovidae
Source: Rfam
UCCCUGAUAGUUGAGUUGGUAAAGAAUCUGUCUGUAAUGCAGGAGACCCUGGUUUGAUUCCUGGGUUGGGAA